AAACCAUGCAUCGACCAUUUUCCAAUUACUUCCUUGAAACGCUCCCAUGCUUCAUAUAAUUUCUCAUCUUUAGAUUGCCUAAACAAUGUAAUGUCGUUCCUAAGCUU
Molecule: non-coding RNA, 107 nt
Organism: Gossypium hirsutum (cotton)
Lineage: Eukaryota; Viridiplantae; Streptophyta; Magnoliopsida; Malvales; Malvaceae
Source: Rfam